UGUUGGAAUUGUUUGGCCAGAAGUUCUCUUUUCCAAGGUAUGAUAUACGUUGGAAUUCUGGAGUGAAUGAGACGAAGAGUACUCUUCAUGUGAACAAAGGGAACAAGGUGGUCUAGUUGUUUCAAAGUUGCUUUAUAUUAAUAUGAGGUUCUGGAAGGUAUAAAGUGUGGGUAUGGGAAGUCAGAAGCGAGGAGUUCUGGAGCUGUGCUUGAUGUGAAAUGGUUUCCAAUGGAAUCUACG
Molecule: long non-coding RNA, 240 nt
Filed under: Elaeis guineensis (African oil palm)
Lineage: Eukaryota; Viridiplantae; Streptophyta; Magnoliopsida; Arecales; Arecaceae
Description: long non-coding RNA (EGUI_LNC022937)
Source: RNAcentral